UCAUGAGGACGCCAAAUGCUAAAAAUGGA
Molecule: non-coding RNA, 29 nt
Filed under: Homo sapiens (human)
Lineage: Eukaryota; Metazoa; Chordata; Mammalia; Primates; Hominidae
Source: RNAcentral